CUCCAUAGGGCUGUUCUCUGGACUGGAAGCGAUGCGUGUUUUCUUCACGACCUCUAGCUCAGUGUAAGAACUUCACUUCGAAAGAGGCCAAGAAUGAGAGUCCGCUGCCUGGUGAAAACGCCUUGCAUCAACUGGGGGAGAUUCAAACCUGACUGCAGGAAUCCGAGAGAGGAUUAGCAUUCUGGAUUCUCUCGUGUGUUUCCUCCUAGUGGAUGAACAUCUCUUACCUCUGCAAGAAAAGAGCUUUCUUCUCAAGCCGGUGAGACCAAUUACAGUCCUCAACAUACUUACCGAGCAAACACAUAAACGCAUAAACUUAGAUUAUAUGUUUAAUGCUAUGAACUCCAGCAUGGCAACAGAUGCCAUCAGGAAAGUGAAACAAGGCUAUGAUCCCUCACUUGACUUUGUUUUUUAACAACUGCUUUCUAGCUUUGCAUUUUAUAAGGUUGCCA
Molecule: long non-coding RNA, 452 nt
Filed under: Selaginella moellendorffii
Lineage: Eukaryota; Viridiplantae; Streptophyta; Lycopodiopsida; Selaginellales; Selaginellaceae
Description: long non-coding RNA (SMOE_LNC000871)
Source: RNAcentral